RNAcentral lists this ribosomal RNA (587 nucleotides) under uncultured bacterium. RNAcentral describes it as "partial 16S ribosomal RNA". It matches the Rfam family "Bacterial small subunit ribosomal RNA", at positions 355 to 1375 of the family's 1533-position model. The record is from RNAcentral.
UGGGGAAUUUUGGACAAUGGGCGAAAGCCUGAUCCAGCAAUGCCGCGUGUGUGAAGAAGGCCUUCGGGUUGUAAAGCACUUUUGUCCGGAAGGAAAUCCUUGGCUCUAAUACAGUCGGGGGAUGACGGUACCGGAAGAAUAAGCACCGGCUAACUACGUGCCAGCAGCCGCGGUAAUACGUAGGGUGCAAGCGUUAAUCGGAAUUACUGGGCGUAAAGCGUGCGCAGGCGGUUUGCUAAGACCGAUGUGAAAUCCCCGGGCUCAACCUGGGAACUGCAUUGGUGACUGGCAGGCUAGAGUAUGGCAGAGGGGGGUAGAAUUCCACGUGUAGCAGUGAAAUGCGUAGAGAUGUGGAGGAAUACCGAUGGCGAAGGCAGCCCCCUGGGCCAAAUACUGACGCUCAUGCACGAAAGCGUGGGGAGCAAAACAGGAUUAGAUACCCUGGUAGUCCACGCCCUAAACGAUGUCAACUAGUUGUUGGGGAUUCAUUUCCUUAGUAACGUAGCUAACGCGUGAAGUUGACCGCCUGGGGAGUACGGUCGCAAGAUUAAAACUCAAAUGAAUUGACGGGGUCAUAGCUGUUUCCU